Mya arenaria is the source of this 711-nucleotide long non-coding RNA. RefSeq lists it as uncharacterized. The record is from RefSeq and is a predicted model, not a curated record. The transcript has 4 exons. NCBI's taxonomy places the organism in Eukaryota, Metazoa, Mollusca, Bivalvia, Myida, Myidae.
UAAAGCAUUACACACAAGGCAGCUAUGAUACACUGUGUUGUAAUUGGCCAAAAAUGCAGAUUGGUAACACCAGUCACCUAAGCCACCAUUGCCAUUGCAGACAAGAGUGUGAAGUAACAGCCCCUACAGUUUACAGCAAAGCCCUCGACUGUAGCCCUACAAACUUCAGAUACUGCCGAUGGCGUAGAUGCACUGAACUUUGCCAGUUUUUCAGCUAUGUUGAAUUGACAUCUCCAACUGAUUUUAAGAGCCAGGAUUGAUAUCAGACUGCUUGACAGCACGGACCUCUUUCUUGGGUGGAUGGAUUCAGAGAUGACCUACAGAUGCAGCCAUGACUGUGGCACAUGAAUGUUAUAGAUGAUGACUGUAAAGAAAUGAUGAUAGCAGAAAAAUGAAACUAUCUUAAUAUGGUUUUCUGGAAUUAAAUUAGCAGACAAAGUAUUCAUAUUUCUGUGGAAAAAUAAUGUCAUAGCUGAAAUAUGUUUUGCAAAUUCAAAAUGGUAAUGUUUUUCUCAUAUUUUAUGCUGGCAUCACAAAUAUUAUCAUUGGCUCUGUAUACGGUAAUCUCUCACUUCAAAACAUAACUAAUUGGACUAUUUGAAGAUUAAAUCUUCAUUAUUUUUAUUUAAUAUAAAAUGCUAUGCUGGUUUUACUGUCUUAAAUAAUGUUACUUAUUAUGUCUGAAAAGCCUAAAAUAAAGUUUACAAAUUU